RNAcentral lists this ribosomal RNA (253 nucleotides) under uncultured bacterium. RNAcentral's name for it is "partial 16S ribosomal RNA". It matches the Rfam family "Bacterial small subunit ribosomal RNA", at positions 524 to 776 of the family's 1533-position model. The record is from RNAcentral.
UACGGGGGGGGCAAGCGUUGUUCGGAAUUACUGGGCGUAAAGGGUGCGUAGGCGGCGCGGUAAGUCGGAUGUGAAAUCCCUCGGCUCAACCGAGGACGUGCAUUCGAAACUGUCAGGCUCGAGUAUGGAAGAGGGUCGCGGAAUUCCCGGUGUAGAGGUGAAAUUCGUAGAUAUCGGGAGGAACACCAGUGGCGAAGGCGGCGACCUGGGCCAAUACUGACGCUGAGGUGCGAAAGCGUGGGGAGCAAACAGG